UAGUCUCGCACAGAUGCAUAUCAAUAAGCGGAGGAAAAGAAACUAACAAGGAUUCCCCUAGUAACGGCGAGUGAAGCGGGAAGAGCUCAAAUUUGAAAUCUUUAAAGGGUUUCCCUUUACGAAUUGUAGUUUAAAGAAGUGUUUUCUGUUGAGGUUUUGGUAAAAGUUCUUUGGAAUAGGACAUCAUAGAGGGUGAGAAUCCCGUAUUUGACCUUUACUUUCAACUUUGUGAUACACUUUCAAAGAGUCGGAUUGUUUGGGAAUGCAGUCCAAAAUGGGUGGUAAAUUUCAUCUAAAGCUAAAUAUUGGCGAGAGACCGAUAGCGAACAAGUACCGUGAGGGAAAGAUGAAAAGGACUUUGAAAAGAGAGUUAAACAGUACGUGAAAUUGUCAAAAGGGAAGCGUUUGACACCAGUGUUGUUUUUCUGAAAAUCAAUUAAAGAACUGUUUAUGCUAAGCUGUUUAGACUUUAUCAGCUAAUCUGUUUAGUUUUGAGCUUUUCUUUAAUGCACUUUUCAGUUAACAAGUCAACAUCAAUUUCUUUUGCUGUAAAAAAGCUUGAGGAAGGUGGCUUGAGAUUCGUCUUAAGUGUUUAUAGCCUCUUGCCUAUGCAGUCGGAGAGAUUGAGGUCUGCAGCGUAGAUCCUUCGGGGCUAAAUGCAUUUGUGCUAAGUUAUAGCAUUUUAUAGACAACUUGUUGACUAUGAUUUGUCUUGUAGCUUACUCGCUUAUGUUAUUUUACCUACGCUUAGGAUGUUGAAGACUCUACAGAGAUA
RNAcentral lists this ribosomal RNA (775 nucleotides) under uncultured Neocallimastigales. RNAcentral describes it as "partial large subunit ribosomal RNA". It matches the Rfam family "Eukaryotic large subunit ribosomal RNA", at positions 24 to 628 of the family's 3401-position model. The record is from RNAcentral. Lineage: Eukaryota; Fungi; Neocallimastigomycota; Neocallimastigomycetes; Neocallimastigales.